GGCCACGUAGAAAAGUGGUAAUUCAGCGGUCUGCAAAACCGCUAUACGCGGGUUCGAUUCCCGCCGUGGCCU
This 72-nucleotide transfer RNA is filed under the name Patescibacteria group bacterium. RNAcentral describes it as "tRNA-Cys". It matches the Rfam family "tRNA". Rfam says of the family: Transfer RNA (tRNA) molecules are approximately 80 nucleotides in length. Their secondary structure includes four short double-helical elements and three loops (D, anti-codon, and T loops). Further hydrogen bonds mediate the characteristic L-shaped molecular structure. tRNAs have two regions of fundamental functional importance: the anti-codon, which is responsible for specific mRNA codon recognition, and the 3' end, to which the tRNAs corresponding amino acid is attached (by aminoacyl-tRNA synthetases). tRNAs cope with the degeneracy of the genetic code in two manners: having more than one tRNA (with a specific anti-codon) for a particular amino acid; and 'wobble' base-pairing, i.e. permitting non-standard base-pairing at the 3rd anti-codon position. The record is from RNAcentral.